UUCUCCGGUCCUAAUUUCUUUAUCUUGCACUUUCUCUGUCUUGGCGAUCAGCACAGAAAGAGCAGUUACAACCUGUAAACUAGGGUUUUAUGCAUUGUACAUCAUUAUUUAUUCAUAAAACAACGUUAAUUACUCAAAUUCAUUAGUUAAUCAGCUUCCGCGGCGUGUUUGGCCAAUUUGAAUAGUAAAAUAUCCAAAUGGCCAUUCCGCCACGGAUCACUGAUUAAGCAUUGGGGAAAAGGAAGGUCCAUUGUUUCCAAAUGAAGCACGGAAAUGAAUUCCUCCGCAGUUCAGUUACUACUCGCUCCCAACAAUACAUCUCCCCAAUAUACCCAAACCCCCAUUCUCAUAUACCCAAACCCCCAUUUUCAUCUACCAAAUCCCCAUUCUCAUAUAACCAAACCCCCAUUCUCAUAUAUCCAAACCCCCAUUCUCAUAUACCAAACCCCCAUUCUCAAAUACCCGACAACCCCGCCGAGUCGCCUGUGCCACACACACAAGCCAAUCUAUAAUCGAUUAAGCAAACAAACCGGCAAUGGAUAUGGAAAAGCGAUAGGUGGACUAGCAUGGUCAAGCGACAAUGAACGCAGAGAAUAACCCGGAACUGAUGCCACAGGUCUGGUCCCCGGGAGAAACUUCCACCCAAUAACUCGCUUCGUAAGACGUUCAGAAGCUGCUACCGAAACAAAAAACAGCCAUACCGACAGGUUCCCAUGCAGGCACAACAACUGUUUGACAACGUUUGAGACGUUAAGCGAGUGGCGAGAGAAAAGAUGAACAGAGAAGUAAAUCCCCAAAGCACCCCCCGGAAGGACCAGAAAAGGGCAACAGUUCC
Molecule: long non-coding RNA, 835 nt
Filed under: Paramuricea clavata
Lineage: Eukaryota; Metazoa; Cnidaria; Anthozoa; Malacalcyonacea; Plexauridae
Source: RNAcentral